CCGCUGAGAGAUGGCUUCGCGCCCGAUUAGGCAGUUGGUGAGGUAACGGCCCACCCAACCUACGAUCGGUAUCCGGACUGAGAGGCCGAUCGGCCACAUUGGGACUGAGACACGGCCCAAACUCCUACGGGAGGCAGCACUGGGGGAUAUUGCGCAACGGGGGAAACCCUGAUGCACCGACGCCGCGUGAGGGAAGAAGGUUUUCAGACUGUAAACCUCUGUCUUCCCGGACGAUCAUGACGGCACCCGAGGACGACGCCACAUCUAACUACGUGCCGGCCGCCGCGGCAAAACGUAGGUGGCAAGCGGUUCUCCGGAAUCUCUGGGUGUAUAGGGAGCGCGAGCGGGACGCGCAAGUCACAUGUGAAAUGUAUGGGCUCAACCCAUAAAUUGCGUUUGAUACUAUUGUUCUUGAGUGGAGUAGAGGCAGGCGGAAUUCCCGGUGUAGCGGUGGAAUGCGUAGAUAUCGGGAGGAAUACCAGUGGCGAAGGCGGCCUGCUGGGCUCUAACUGACACUGAGGCUCGAAAGCGUGGGUAGCAAACAGGAUUAGAUACCCUGGUAGUCCACGCUGUAAACGAUGAUUACUAGGUGUGGGGGGACUGACCCCUUCCGUGCCGUAGUUAACACAAUAAGCAUUCCACCUGGGGAGUACGACCGCAAGGUUGAAACUCAAAGGAAUUGACGGGGGCCCGCACAAGCAGUGGAGUAUGUGGAUUAAUUCGACGCAACGCGAAGAGCCUUACCAGGUAUUGACAUUGAGCGCAUACCGUGGAAACACGGGAAGUCCUUCGGGACGCUCAAACAGGUGGUGCAUGGUUGUCGUCAGCUCGUGUCGUGAGAUGUUGGGUUAAGUCCCGCAACGAGCGCAACCCUUACCGAUAGUUACUACGAAAGAGGACUCUAUCGGGACUGCCGUUGACAAAACGGAGGAAGGUGGGGAUGACGUCAAAUCAUCAUGCCCUUUAUGAUCUGGGCUUCACACGUACUACAAUGGUCGCCAACAAUAGGAACCGAAAGCGCGAGCUGGAGGGAAACCAUUAAAAGCGAUCUCAGUUCGGAUUGCAGGCUGCAACUCGCCUGCAUGAAGUCGGAAUUGCUAGUAAUCGCGGAUCAGCAUGCCGCGGUGAAUAAAAUCCUCGGGCCUUGCACUCACCGCCCGUCA
RNAcentral lists this ribosomal RNA (1163 nucleotides) under uncultured bacterium. Its description in RNAcentral is "bacterial SSU rRNA". It matches the Rfam family "Bacterial small subunit ribosomal RNA", at positions 215 to 1399 of the family's 1533-position model. The record is from RNAcentral.